This 28838-nucleotide long non-coding RNA is filed under the name Gossypium barbadense (sea-island cotton). RNAcentral's name for it is "long non-coding RNA (GBAR_LNC006045)". The record is from RNAcentral. Lineage: Eukaryota; Viridiplantae; Streptophyta; Magnoliopsida; Malvales; Malvaceae.
GUAAAAUGACUAUCAUGAGCUUCGCGAAAUAUCAACUCUUUUAAUUCAGAAACAUCUGGAACGUAGAUUCGGUUAUGAAAUCUCAAGCAACCACAAUAAUCAAUGCUGAAAUUUUCUAAUAUACCAUUCUAACCCAUUUCUGUUUUCUUCGCCAACUUGUUAUCAUCUAACUACUCUAACUUGAUUUGAUCAAACAUCACCGGUUUGAUCUUUAAUUUAGCCAAUAGGAUUUUAUUGUUAUUGAUACUGAGCUGAACAAACAUUACUCACAAUUCAAUCGUUGCUUUUCUAUUCAACGCAUCAGCUACGAUAUUAGCUUUACCAGGGUGGUAAUCAAUAACACAAUCAAAAUCUUUCAGAAGUUCUACCCAAUGACGCUGUCUCAAAUUCAACUCCAUUUGAGAUAGGAGGUUUUUAAGACUUUUAUGAUCGGUAUAGAUAUGACACUUUUCACCGUACAAGUAGUGUCUCUAGAUCUUUAGAGCAAAAACCACAACAGCUAGCUCUAAAUCGUGUGUCGAAUAAUUACGUUCAUGCAUUUUCAGUUGACGAGAUGCAUAAGUGAUCAUUUUCUCGAUUCUGGUAAAGUCAAAACUAGCGCUUCAGUCAACAUCUGCUUCAAUUUCUCAAAACUUUCUUGACACUGAUUGUCCUAGAUAAAUUGAACAUUCUUAUGCAACAACUUUGUCAUCGGCAAAACCAUAUUCGAAAAUCCAUUUACAAAUCUUCGGUAAUAACCAGCUAAUCCAAGAAAAUUGCGAACCUUUAAAAUAUUCCUCGGUGCUUUACACUGAACAAUUGCCUUAAUUUUUUUCAAAUCAACUCUAAUUCCAUCUGCUGAGAUAACAUGACCCAAAAAGACAACCUCUGAUAACCAGAAUUCAUACUUACUAAGCUUUCCGUAUAACUAUUUUUUUCGUAACACUUGCAAAAUAAUUCUGAGGUAUUGAUCAUGCUCGAAUUUGGUUUUCAAAUAGAUCAAAAUAUUAUCAACAAAAACCCUAUUCUGGAGACCGAUACGGGUUAGAGGUAUUACAUUUAGUGGUAUCAAAACUUGUAGGUUUAGCUGAUUAUAGGACUAAAUUGAGCUCAAAAUUGAGUCUAGAGGUACAUGCCAUAAUUGAAUUGAAUUGAGUCUAAAUGUAAUACCCCUAAGCCCAUGUGCCAGGCCGUAUACCCUUUGAAAUGGCCUCGCACGCCAGUAUGCUAGCUGUGUGUCUCACAUGGCCAAGUCACAUGCCAGUGUGUCUGGCCGUGUGGACCUAAAAUGUGCCUUAAACAACAAAUUUACCAUUUCCUACAAGCUUGAACAUUAAACAACUCAAAAACCAUUCGUUUAACAUGUUCAAAAAAUGAUCAAACACAUUCAAAACAUGCCAAAACAAUCAUCCUAGGUGCCUAACCAAUGUACCCUCAUUGGUACCACAUUUAUAUCAUCAAAUCAUAUCAUCAAAGCAUCAUUCAAAUACAAAUUAUAAACAUACCAAAUUCAAUCCAAUUUUCCUAGUUCAUAAGCACUUAAACAUCAACUUAAAUUUACAUGCACAUAUCUAGAUUUGGUUCAAUUUACCAUGCCAUAAUAUGGCUUCAAACACAAACACAUGUUUAUAUAUAUACCAAACCAACAUUACACUUAUAACUUCAUUUACACACCAUCCACAAAAUAACUAUCAUUUAGACAUCCUAGGUACAUGCCGACAUAAAAUAUAAACAUCACCACAUUUGAGUUUGGGAUCGUUGUUGGAUGCUGAAUCGAUGAUCAAAAGUGAAGUACCUAAUUUUCGCACAGAAAAAUAAAGCCAUAGACUUAGUAAAAGUCAGUGGUAUUUCAAUAAUCCGAACAUUUAAAGACAAGAUAAUAUAAUAUGCCCAACUAAAUUAUAAGCACAUAUUAAUGUCUAGUAUCAUAACUAUCAUAUGCUAGUCUUUUUAAUUUAUACAUAUUAUCAUAUCACUUUAUAUUUUAUUCAAUUUACACAAGCUAUCAUAUUUUUUUUGUUAAACAAUGUCCCAAUUCACACAAUUGCUAUAUAAAUAAUUAUUCACAUAUCAAACCAUAUUUAUUUGUACAAUGGCAUUAGCCAUUCAAUACUCAAUUCAUGAAUAUAUCAUUUCAUACCAUACUCAAUUCUCAUUAGUUGCUAUAUAAUAGCUUUUCACAAUUUGAUCCACAUAUCAUUUAAACAAUAACAUUAUCCAUUCCAUAUCCAAUUCAUGAGUACAUAACUCAUGUAUCUUAUUUUCAUGUUUCAGAUCACUAUUCCAAUUUCAAUUCACAUACAAUAUCAUCCAAUAUCAAUCAUAGUACCAUUUAUUUAAUUACCCCUAUUAAUAUGACUCGAACUCGGAUGGAUACUAGGAUCUAACCAAUAUACCAGUUUAGCACCCAAUGCCUCAUCGAAUAAAUCCGAAGUAAUAUGCGUCCAACGCUAUAUACAUUGACACCCAGUGUCUCAUUGGUUAAACUGAAGUAAAUUGGCACCCAGUGCCUCAUAGGCUCGAAGUCGAAGAAAUCCAUGAACUCUUUCUAUCCUAUGGCAUGCCAUCUAUAUCCGACUCAGCCCGAUCAGUUAAUAGUGUUUAAUUUCACAUUUCAGAUAUAACCAAUAUCCAAUACUAAUUUUUCAUAUAAUCACAUAAAUUCAUUUCAAUUCAGUAAUCAAUACAUUCAAUAUAUAACUACCAAUUCGAUUAUCAAAAUGUCAAUUACUCACCUCAACGCUUACCAUAUGCAUUAAAUUAAAUUAUAACAAUUAACAACUAAGUUCGGAUUAUAGAAAUACAAAUCAAGAAUUUCGAGCUAUUCCAUGUCGAUUUUAUCUUUUCCAUUUUUAGUCGAGGAUUAGACACAGAACCAAACAAUUAAAAUUCAUUAAUACAAUAAAUUUUCAAUUACAUAUUGAAUAUUUCAAUUUUUACUCAAUAUUUGCCUAAAUUUCAAUUUAGUCCCUAAACCGAGACUAAUUUUUAUUCUUCAUAUUUGAUCUUAUAUUUUUAUACUAAUUUCACUUUAACCUAAAUUAAGCUGCCUAUUUUCAAUUAAACCCUUAAAUUUUAAAAUUUUCACAAUUUAGUCCCUAUUACUCAAAACUUAUAAUUUGUUCUAUAAUUUAAUCCUUUUUCAUUUCUAACUUAAAAAUCUAUCAAUUUAAUCCUUAAUACUAAAAUCAUUCAACAUUAAUAACACUUAAAAACUUAAUAAUUGCUAAAAUUUUAACAUGAAUUGAAUAACCCUAGGUACCGGGAUUCCAAAAACAUACCAAUUACAAGAAAAGAUACUAAAUUGACUAACAAAUUAAAUAUUUUAACAAUUUGAAUCCCUAGGCGGUGCGUCUCCUUCUUUUCUUCUUUCUUUAUCUUUCUUAGUUUGUAUGUUCUUUUCUUGUUUUUUUACCUAUUUUGUUCUAUUAUACUUUAAUUAUUAUUAUAUAAUAUAUAUACAUUUACAUUAUUAAGAUAAAAUAUUUUAACUUUAAUUAUUAUAAUAUAAGUAUAAUUACUACAUUGGCCCUUUAAAUAAUUUUUAAUUUAUAAUUCAACUUUCACCCUAUACGUAAUUUAGUCCUUAUACUUAAUUACUUUUAAUUCAAGUAAAUUCACUAAACUGAAACCUAAUUAACUACACCACUAACUUUAUAAAUAUUCAUUAAAAAUAUUUACAAACUUAAUUUACGAGAAUAGAAUUCCAAAAAUACACUUUCUGACACACCAAAGUAUGGGGUCAUUACAAGUAUAAUCAACUACCAUAUUAAAAACAUACAAUUUUGGGUUGUAUAAUAUGGUUUCUCAUUGGACAAGUUGACGUAUACCAUAAUUGAGAUUAAUCUUGUAUAGAAUAAUAAUGUCCUUCGAUUUUAGGAAAUUAAUUUUCUUUUUCGGAAUCAUAUUAUUGAAUGUUGAUAAUACUGAUUAAUCUUAUCCAGAGCACUUUCUAGAAAAGAUUAAACAGACAACAUGAAAUACUUUGACUGAGCAUUUGGUUGAGAAAUCUUUUAUCAGAAAAGCAACUAUCAUAGAUUCAAAUUAAAAAUUGUUACUAUAAAAUAUAAAUAACUUCUCCUAUCACCUUAACAUACAAAUAUAUAUUAAAACAUUUGGUUGACGAAAACUAAAUCAUACAAAUCCCAACUACGGUAUCCAAACGCCAUCCUUAAAAAAAAAGCUUCGAUUUGAUCUCUUUUAGUGAAAAAAAUGGCUGAAAAUCUUAUGCAUGCUUUACAAUAUAACAGCUAUGGCGGAGGCGCUGCUGCUUUGAAGGUUAAAAUCUACAUACGAUUAUUUAUUUUCCUUUUUUUUCUUUUUUUGUACUGUUUUUCUUCAUAUAGUUUUGUUUGGUUGAGAUAUUAGUUCGUCUUUUAAGUGGAGAUUUCAAUCAAGGUUGUUAAUUUAGUGUUUAUAUUGAUCUAAGUUUGUUCUUCGGAUUCAAAAUUCUAUUAGUUAAAUUUGUUAUUGAAGAAAGCGUGAAGAUGAUUCCAGUGAGUGCCGUGAGUUACUAAGGAAGUGGAAUUUUCUGGAACGGAAAUGAACUAGGGAUUUGGUAUUCGGAAUUAAAAUUUCACAAAAAGGAUCUGAGAUUGAGAGGUUGACUUGAUGGAGAAGUUAAGUCUUGACCCAUUUUAUCGUCGGAUUCAAAUUUUUAUUAGUUAAAUUUGUGAUUGAAAGCAUAUAGAUAAUUUGAAUUAGUGCCGCAAAGCACUAGGAUAGUGGAAUUUUCUGGAAUUGAAGUAAAUUAAGGAUUUGCUGAGACGGAGAGGUUGAUACUUUACAGUGAAGUUAAGUGUUUUAAAUUUUUUAUAUGGAACUGCUUGAUAUAAACUUGAAAAAAUAAUAGCCAGCGGCUUGAUGUCAUAACAGCUUUGAAUUUUGUGCUUGUUCCAGCAUGUUGAAGUUCCGAUCCCCACUCCAAGUAAAGGUGAAAUUUUGCUUAAGCUGGAGGCAACUAGUCUAAACCCAAUUGACUGGAAAAUACAGAAAGGGAUUCUGCGCCCAGUUUUACCAAGAAAAUUUCCCCACAUACCUGGUAGUUUAUAUAUUCUCGAGACUCUUUUCUUUUUAUCGAUGUUUGAACCAGACCAAUAGAGGUACCGGUCCGGAGAAUGGCUUUGAACCGGUACAGACCGGUUGAACUGAUGGUUUACAUUUGUGGAGUUUGCUUUAGUUGCAACUAUUGAUGGGAAAAAAUGUGUCUAUUUGUUAACUCAAGUUAUCAUUAAAGGACAGAAUUUGUCUACUUGUUAAGGCAUAUCCUUCUUUUAUAAUUAACCAACAAAAUAAUAGACUGGAUUGUAGGUCUCUUAGUUUAAGCACUUGUGGUUAUUUGAUAGUAAUUUUUGGCAUCCUAUUGUCAUAGAGCUAAUGCUUUUAAAACGUGAAGAUCUGAUAUCUCAAAUGAAAGUUGUCUAGCUAUAUACCAUUUGCAAGUUACAUUAAAGAACCUGUCUUACAGUAAGCUUUGCAGUUUUCUCUCUGUUGAUAUUUGGUUCGCCGCGUUUUAAUCAUCGAUUAAAGAUUUUUAUUUUCCUGUGCAGCAAGUGAUGUAGCCGGAGAAGUCGUAAAGGUUGGACCAGGAGUCACAAAUUACAAAGUUGGGGAUAAAGUUGUAUCUCUUCUUGAUCAUUUGGUAAGUUCUCAUUCUCAUUCUUAACAUCCCCCCCCCCAAAAAAAAAAAAAUACAGCAUAAAAUGUCUGGCCCUGUAGUCUCGUAUUAUAGACGAAUCAAUAUCAAUUAUGUACAUUGCUAUGGCCAUAUUCUAAUAUGAAUUAUAUUUGCAAUGAUAGACUGGUGGACUAGCUGAAUAUGCUGUGGCUACGGAGAAUCUGACAGUUGCAAGGCCACCAGAAAUAUCAGUUGCCGAAGCUGCUGGUUUACCCAUGGCUGGUCUCACAGCUCACCGAGCAGUCACCCAUGGGGCUGGGGUCAAGCUUGACGGAAGUGGCCAGCAAUUAAACCUCUUGAUUACUGCUGCUUCAGGUGGUGUAGGUCAUUAUGCAGUUCAACUAGCAAAGCUUGGAAACACACAUGUAACAGCUACUUGUGGGGCUCGUAAUCUGGAUUUUGUCAAAAGCCUCGGAGCAGAUGAGGUUCUUGACUACAAAACUCCUGACGGUGCAGCUCUGAAAAGCCCUUCCGGUCGCAAAUACGAUGUAGUUAUCCACUGUGCUUCUGGUAUUCCUUGGUCUACCUUUGAACCUAAUCUAAGUUCAAACGGGAAGGUAAUCGACAUAACCCCUGGUCUUAGUGCUUUCCUAACUUGUGCUAUAAAAAAGCUUACCUUCUCAAAGAAGAAGCUGGUACCACUCUUUAUGUCACCGAAAAAGGAGAACCUCGAUUAUCUGGUUAACUUAAUGAAAGACGGGAAGCUGAAGACGGUAAUCGAUUCAAAGUAUCCCCUAAGUAAGGCUGAGGAAGCAUGGGCUAAGAGCAUUGAUGGUCAUGCCACUGGUAAGAUCAUUGUGGAGCCUUAAUCUAUGAAAUAUUACUUUAUACUUACUGCAGUGAUGCUUGGAGGUCAUGCUGCUUGUGUGUAUAAUUAGGAUUUGUGUAUCUUGAAAAUUAUGUGUAUGAAAUGUAUAGUUAAUAUACACAUUGGAUGACAUUGCAAAAUUUUCUUAAUGUGUUAUAAGCUUUGUAUUCACAAAUUUAGCUCUUCUUUUAUAUGUUUCCUACUUUUCCUUACUUUUUCUAAUUGACAAUUUGAGCAAUGAAAUGUUGUUGGGACGUGGAGUUAUAUGUGUUUUUUUUCAUGUCUAUUUUAUAAUUAUGUUUGGAGUUAAUAACCAUCUUUUAUAAUAAUGUCUAUUUUAAGGUUAAAAAUACUUGUUGAAAAUUGUAUGGUUGAAAAUUGUAUGGAUUUUCAUUGGAUACAUAUUUCAAUGUUUUUUUUUAAAUUAAAGUUUAGCUUAUGAAUUAAAUUUCUUGUGAAUAAUAUCUAUUAUAUAUAAUAUUUGAAAGUUUAUUGAGCAAUUUUUUUAUGAAUUUUUUUAUGUUAGAAAAUAUUUAAAAUUUAUGAAAUUACCUUUUUUUAUCCCAUCUUCAAUUAUUUAUUGUAACACAUUGAUUUUGAUUUUAUAGAAUGUAGUAAAAAUUUUAAAAAAUAAUUAUAUAAAUAAAUGUGACAUUUAUCAUACUUUUAAUUCACUUAUAAAGUAUAAAAAAUUUUAUUGACAAUAUAUUAAAUAAUUACCUAUUAAUUUUUAUUAUUUUUAAUUAUAUUCACGUUUGAUUAACUUGUAAUAUCAAUUUAUUCAUCAAUUCAAAUAAUAUCCUCAACGCAUGUGGAGUCUAUUUUCGUUUGAAAUAUUUUUCCCAAGCCUUGCCAUCAUAUCUGUAUAUUUGUUACCUUCUUUAAGGUUAAUAAAUAAUGGCUUUCUUGUUUUUGGCAAAUUUUUUACGUAAAAUACUAACAAUUUUGUGUCUGAAAACCGAAAGUUACUUUCAAAUGUGUGCCUUUUAUGCCUCUUGAGUUUCGUAUUUUUCUAAAUUUUUAAUUUCUUUAAAUUAUAAAAUUUUUUUAAAAAAAUUAUAAUUUUUUAUAUUAAAUCUCUUGAUAUAAAAUUUCGCUAACAAAAAAAUAAGUGGUCAUCUUCACAUGUCAAAUUUAAAAUUUUGGCUUAAAUAUUCAAUGACUCAAAUUCAUUUAACUCAAAUUUUAAAUUAUCCAAACUCAAAUAGAUUUAAAUAUAAAAUAAUUUGAAUUUGAAACGACACGAAUACGAAACUACAAAACUCAAAAUAGCCUAUACAACCUCUAUAAAUUAAAAUGAUUCAAACUCAAAAUUGACCCGAUUUAAUACUAACUUGAACCAAUCAAUUGAUAUAAUUUACUUUUCUUAUCAAUAAAAACGGCCGCAAAAAGGCCAUUGUAUCACUUUCUUAAUAUAGGUACAUAUUGAUAUUGACAUUUUCGAUGUAUCAUUUUAAGUUUAUUGAUGUUUUUAAGUAUUUUUCACAUGUGAUUUUUUCUUUUCUCCAAGUUGUUUGCUUCUUAUAUUUUAUUUUGCCCAAGACAAUGUCAACCUUCAAGUUGGUUAUUGCUCGCUUUUUUCUCCUUCCAUCAAUUCUUUCUUUAUUUCUUUCUUCUUCUUAUUCACUCCACAUGUAUUCUCUCUUUUCAGUUUGCAGAUCUAUUUUGUAGGUAUUUUUGUUGUUUUCACAAGUUGUGAUGGAUAGAUGACGAUGCCUGUCGUUCGCUAAAACUUCACUGGCUACCCAGUAGCUUUUCUUGGAAAAUGAGUGGCUCUUCAUUACCUUCUUAAUUUGUUUCUGUUUUGAGAAUAUUUCAGAACAAUAAAUGAUUUCACGAUUCGAUUUGGGCUCGUGUUGUCUUAAGUUUUAUAUAUAUUUUUGUUUGUUUUUCCAUUGUUUAAUAAGUCUUCAGUUUUGGAAGUUUUUGAUUGCUUUUGUAGCACGAUUUUUAGUCUUGCUUAUACAUGUAAUCUUAGUUUUACGAGUGAUUUUUGAGAUGAUUUUGUUGUCGCCCUCUAUAAUUUGGUGAAUGCUUGAUUCUUUUGUCAAUUUUUCCUCGCCGCUUUGGACCAUCCGGGGCUGAUAUCCUUGUCAUGUUAAAUGCUUGCUGUACAAUCUCGAUUCUGCCCGGGCCUUAAAUGCCCAAUACACCCAAUUUGCCCAGCCCAAAACCUACUUUUACAAUCCCUAAACCCAACACUCAAAACCAGACUAAAUUAAAACAAGCCCACUACCCGGUUACAGGCCCAGUUACAUUUACAACAUAAGCCCACCUACCCAAUCCAACCCAUUACAAUUGAACCCAUUAAAACUCUUAACCCAUCAGACCCACUAACCCAAAACAACCAUAACCCAACAACCCAUUAAAUACCCACAGCCCAAUUACCCAUCUGAAUUAACCCAAUAACCCAAUUUGACCCAACAACCCAACCUAGCCCACCAAGCCCACAUCUUUUUCAAUUAAAAAAAAACCAGUCAAAAGAAACCCUAGGUGUGCCGCACCUAGGUCUCCCCUUGUCCCAUCCACCAUAGACGUCUGCCACCACCUACUCAGCACCGCUUCAACCACUACCUGCACAGCAAACAGAACACGCAACAGCAGCAAAGAAUAAGAAAUAGACAGUGUAACAAAUGGGCUAUAAAAGCCGAAUGGAAAACUAUUGUAAAAGGGAAGGAAAAAGUUUGUAAAAAAUACAGAAAAAUCAAAAGAGAAAAAACGGGCCAUUCUUCAUCAAUACGAACAACAAAUUUUAAAACAAAGAAAUCAGUUCAAAUCGAAGGAAAAAAAACAGUAAGUAAUAAGCAGAUUCAGUCCAAGGUAGCCAAUAUUUUUCUUUUUCAUAUGCACAUCCAUCUACACACAUAUACAUAAAGAAUUUUCAUUUUUUAUUUUUGAUUACACGCGUAUAUAUAUACAAGAAUAAAGAACAUAUAAAAUAUAAAAAAAAGAGCUAAAAAUACCAUUUUUUGAAAGUUCGGCCACCGUGUAAGGUGGCCGACGGCGACGGUGCUGCGACGGCGACGGUGGCCUUCCGGGCCGGAUUCUGGAUUUGAUCGAGAGAAAAUAAGUUUCUCUCUCCCUCUUUUUUUUCCUCAACACGCAGAAAUGAUUUAAUUUUCAAAAUUUUUUAACUUUUAUAGGGGCCUGGAACGGCGUCGUUUUAGGCCUUGCACUUAAGCACUGAAACGGCGUCGUUUUAGGCCUUGCACUUAAGCACUGAAACGGCGUCGUUUAGGUGCCGACCCGCGUGUUGACCCGACCCGCUCCAAGGAUCUGCGUUUUUUUUAUUGGAAGGGCUAAUUGCACUUUUAGCCCCUCCGCUUUUUUAUGAUUUCACAAUUAGAUUUAUUGUGCUUUUAAUUUGGCCCUACAAUUUGUUGCACUUUUCAAUUCGGUCCCCAAUGCUGCUGCGCGUUUUAGCUGGAGGAGUUUAUUGUGCAUUUGGUCCCUCUAGGUCAUGCGCGCGUUGCAAUUUGAUCCUGUUUCCUAUUUUAUUUCUAAUUUCACCCCAAUAAUUCUAUUUUGGUCUCAAUUUCACCCUUUUUUUUGUUUUCAUUCUUAAAUAUUAUUUGUAAUAUUAAUUUUGCUAUUAUUACUGUUAUAUUAUUGUUACUUAUUAUUAUUAUUAUUAUUAUUAUUGUUAUGUACAUUUUAUUUAUACUAUUCUUAAUAUUAUUAUUAUAUGUAUUAUCAUUAUUAUAAAUAUUAGUAUAUAUUUUUAUUAUACAUGUAUAUAUACUCUUUAUAUAUGGUAUUAUUUUUAACAUUAUUAUAUUUACUAUCAUAUUUAUUAUUUUUAAUAUAUUAUUAUUUAUUAUUUUAUUUUCCUUAUCUCAUUAUUUUAUCAUAUUUUCUUUUUGUAUUUUUACUAUUACUAUUAUUAUUAUUAUUAUUAUUAUGUAAUAAUGUAUACCUUUUAUGUACGUAUAUGUAUAUACAUGUUUAUAUAUGGUGUUACUUUAUUAUGUUAUUUUAAUAUCUUUAUUAUAUUUGCUUUUUAUAUUUUAAUAUUUUAAUAUUUUAAUUAUCAUGAUUACUAUAUAUUAGUGUGUGAAUUUUUUUUAUAUAUGUAUAUGUUUUUUAAUAUAUUUAUGUAUAUACUUAUGUAGGUUGUUACUAGUCGUUUUUAUUCUUAAUAUUUAUAUAUUAUGUAAAUAUUCUAAUAUUAUAUUGUAUAUAUCUAUAUAUAUUUUUUGUAUAUAUUAUGUAUAUAUGUUUUCAAUAUUGUAUUUUACGUAUAUUAUUAUGUAUAUAUUUUAAUAUUAUUAGAUAUACAUCUUUUAUAUUAUUUUAUGUAUAUUUCUAAUAUUAUUGUAUAUUUCUAACAUCAUUAUUAUUUAUAUAUAUAUGUAUGUAUGUAUGCAUUUAUAUAGCGUAUGAAUAGUUUUUUUAUUUUAUUAUCAUUUCUAAUAUAUAUAUUAUAUAUAUUUUAUAUAUUAUGUAUGUAUUGUAAUGUUAUUAGUUACAUAUUUCUUAUGCUUUUCCAUGUAUGUAUUUUUUAUAUCAUCUUAUGUACGUAUACAAACACUACGUUAUAUACGUAUAUAAAUAAUAUAAAAUUUUAAUACCAUAUUAUGUACGUAUUGUUAUCAUAUCUAUUUUUAUCCCUAUUAUAUUUGUUGUUAAUACUAGUACAUACAUUUUAGGAGUGUAUAUAUACUUUUAUAUAUAGUAUUAUUUUCAUACAUCAUUAUAUUUAUUAUUAUACCUAUUAUUUUCACUAUUAUCACUUAUUAUUUUAUUUUAAUAUUAUUAUGUUUUUCAUAUAUGUUAUGUACAUACAUUUUUCAAUAUUUAUUUCCUAUAUAUAUGUAUUAUGUAUAUAUAUUUUUUAACAUUACUAGUUAUAUAUUUUUACUAUCUUAUGUAUAUACUUCAAACACUAUUACUAUUUAUAUAUAUAUUUUUUACGUACAUACUCUUAAUAUCAUUAUUAUGUAUAUAUAUUCAUUGUUUUUAUUUCGUGUUUGAUACUAUUAUUACGUUUAACAUAUCGCAUGCAUUAUUAUUGUCCUUAAUAUUGUUGUCGUAUUUAUUAUGUGCUUCAAUGUGUUUCUAAAUCUUAUUUUUUUUCCUCGCCCAUUUUAUAUCAAUUGGUUGUUCACUAUUUUAAAGAUUUUUAUUCAUGUUUUUAUAAAUAAGGCAAUGUACCGAUUUAACAUUAAGCCAUAGAUUUCAUCGCUAUAUUGGAUGAAAUUUGUCGGCUCGUGUUAAAGACGGAACACCCUUCUAAAAAAACCGAAAAAACUAAAAGAUUUUCAUUUUUAAUUAGAUCAUGAUUAAAUGUUAAAUUGAAUUCGUACUUUUGAAAAUCAAGGCAACACGAGUUUAAUAAUGAUACCAAUUUUGGGUGUCGCGAGGGUGCUAAUACCUUACUCGUGCGUAACUGACUCCCAAACUCUAUUUUUCUCUAGAUUUUCACAUAGAUCCAAAUUCAGCCUUCAUUUUUGUUCAAGAAUAAGUUUUCUUUUAAAAAAAGAUGAUUUAUUAGGUGUCCGAUCACACCUAGAAAAAGGAUCGGUGGCGACUCCCCUUUUUAAUAAAAUCGAAAGUCAUUUUGAAAUUUUCAAUAAAUCGCCUCAAUUAGCGACUCGAAAGCUAAAAUUUUUAUGUCGCUACACUUGCAAUCACUCUAGAUAUAUGGUGCUUGAGUUGUGACAAAGUCAAUUGUCAACGUGUCAUAAUAUUCUAUUGAUGCUUAGGCUAAAGCCUUUGUUGUGUUGACAUAUUUUGUCCUUUACUAUAUACGACGAGUGUUUAUUAUUUUUUUUCCUGAAUUGUAUGGCUCCAUUCAUUGAAUGAAUUAAUGGAUUUCCCUUUAAAAAAAUUAUUCACAUAUAUAUAUUCAGGGGCGUAGCCAGGGGGGCUAGCAUGGGCCCCGACCCCCCUAAAAUGGAAAAUUUUAUUUUAGGCCAUUGAAAUUUUUUAAAAAUUUUAAAUUAGUAAAGAUAAAAUUGUACUUUGCCCCCCCUAAAAUUAUAAAAAUUCAAUUUAAUCCUUUACAAAUUAUAAAAAUAUAAACUAUAAAAAAUUAAAAUUUCAUCCGACCCCCCCUAAAAAAUUUUUCUGGCUUCGCCCCUGUAUAUAUUUAUAGUUAAUUUUAGUUUUUUUAAUAAAUGAUGCAUUAUUUUAGUUAAAAAAUAAAUUAUUAUUGUAUAUGUCGAAACCAUUUUCAAAUCGAGUUUUGGAAAAUGGGAAUCGAUUUUAAAAACAAAAACGGGAGUCGCCACCAAUCUUUUUAGGUGUGAUUGGAUCACCUUUAAAACAUUUUGUUUUAAAAUCAUUAGUUUUGGUCCACGAAAUAAAAGAACGGGUUCGGGAGUCAGUUACGUACGAGGAAGGAUUAGCACCCUCGUAACGCCCAAAAGUUGGUACCUAAUCGAUUAUCAAAUGUCUUUAAUGUCGGAAAUUUAAAAAAAAAAUUAAGAUGUAGUGCUCUUUAAAAUAUUUUAACUUUGAAAAUUGAGAUUCACUCGCGUCAAAGUAUUGACAUUAAGUUAACCCUUUUUGAAAUUCCUAUCUCGAAACAGCAAAACGCCAUAUCCAAUAAGUUAGGACACAUUGCUUUGAAAUUCCAAGAUAGUGGCUUGCAUUUAGAAAACCUUUAAAAAAACUUAGAAGGGUACUUAAUUAUUCGAAUUCAACGAGAAAAGUGGCAACCCAAUAAGUUAGGGCACUACUUUCUCGAAAUUUCCAAACACCAAGCAUUGCCUUUAUAUUUUUUGAAAUCCUUGAAGUCUCAUUUUUAAAAUCGAUGCAUGAAGGAGUGCAUUAACAUGAUAAAACAUAACAUACAAGAUAGUGUCGUAAUCAUUUUUUUUGAAAACGGGAUCGACUUUGGUUUUGAAAGUGACAAUUAAAACGGGAACGGAUUUGAAAUUCGAUCCUUUCUAUUAAUAUCGAUUUUAAAAUGCUUGAAUUAGCUCAAAUCGAUUGUUUAAAGAUUUCCUUAUCUCGAGAUAUCGAAAUAUCACAUCCCUUAAGUUAGGACAUAAUAACGUGAAUUCCCCAAGCACAAGGUCGUCUUUUAAUUUAAAUGAGAGUUUCGUGUGUUUUAAAACUCGAAAAGGAUAUUUAGCUAUUUAGAGAUAACGAGAAAAUUGAAACCCCGUAAGUUAGGGCACAAUUCCUCGAUAUCUCAAAAUGCAUAACAUUGCCUUAUUUGGAAAAUUUCGUUUUUGAAUAGUAGCGAAUGCAAUAUUUAAACAACAAGUGUUAUUUAUUUGGAGUAAAAGUGGAACGAUCCAUAUUGGAUAAAACGUUGAAGUCUAAUACACGAUACGAUGACGUGAGAAAAAAAUAUAGUAAUGUGCAUAGAAUGAUAGUGCGCGGAAUAAUAAUGCAUGAAUAAAAUAUUACACUAGUGAAUGACAAUAAUAUGAAAAUAUAAAUAACGAAUCAUAGUACAUGCAAUAGCAACAAUCAUACAACAUUUAAAUGAUAACAUCAAUAAAUAAGGACCAAUGAAUUAAAAUGAUAAAAAGGUAUAAAGCAAAUUAAAAUAAAUAAAGUGUGAACAAAUUUUAGAAUGAUAAUAAAUGAGUUUAAAAUAAGUAAUAUAAAAAAGGUGUCUUAAAAAUCCAUUACCACACAAAGUAGAAUUUUAAAAAAAUGAAUAAUUUUAUAUAAUAUGUAUAUAUAAAAGGGGUAAAAUGAUAUGUAAAAAAACCUAAAAUAAAUAAUGAUAAAAUCAUUUGAAAUAAGUAAAAUGGGUUUAAAAUAAAGUAUAUAAAAUAAUUUUAAAAUAAGUAAUAUAUAAUAGUUAAUUUAAAAUGAUAUAUAACAAGUUUAAAAAAACAUAUAAUAUGUAAAAGAAUUAAAAAGGGACAAUAUAAAUAUACUUUGUAAUAGUAACAAUUCAAAGAUAAUAAAGAGAGAGUUAUUUGAAAUACAUAAUAUACAAUAACUUAAAAUAUAUAUAAAAAAUUAAAAUAAAUAUAUAAUAAUUUUUGAAGAAUUAUAAAUAUAUAAAAAGCUUGAAAUAAACUAUAUAUAUACAUAUAUAUAAUAGGUAAGGAAUAAAAAAAAAUACAUAUAAAGUAGAUUAAGGUAAUAUAUAUAUACAUAAAGCAAGUUAAGAUAAAUAAUAAGAAUUUGAAUAAUCAAAACAUUAAAAUAAGUUAGAAUAGAUAUAAAUAAGUAACAUAUAAAAUAUUUGAAAUAAUAUGUAAAUAAAACAAACACAAAAAAAGGUUAAUAAGUGAAUUAAAUAGAUUUAGGUCAUGACUAAAAAUAAAUUAAAAUUCGAGGUAUAAAAGUAUAAAUACUGAAAAGUUAAUUAAGGAUAAAAACGAAAACCAAAUAGGAUCUGAGGGCUAAAUUUUAAAACAAAAGAAGACAGAAAAUGAGGCUGAUUGAAUGGGGGUUGAAAAGGAAAAGGACUAAUUGCAUAAAUCUCCCUUUUAGGGAAAAUGCCAAACCCCCCCCCACCAUACCAAACGUCAUCAUCAUUUAAAAACAAAACCUUUCUUUUUCAUUUCAUCUCCAGUUCCUUUUUUUUUCAACAGAGAGCCUUUUUUUUUUUGCUUUCUCUCAUUUCCCUUUUCUCCCCACCCCUUGGUUUCUCUCUUUUUGGCUAGGGUUUUAAGACCCAUCCUAGCCGCCGUCGUCCCGACUCCGCCAUGGGUGGUGGUUAAAACCGCAAGGGACGUUUUUAGGCCCGUUUCAGAGCUAUUCAAAUGCCACGUUUCCUUUAGCCCGAAGACGAGAAGGAAGGAGAUCCUUUUACCCCCUUUGGAAUCGACUCUGUCGACGGAGAUGAGGCUCCGUCGGCGCGGCUCUGGUGCGGUCCAGGUAAGUGUUUCCUUUCUUUUUGUUUAGAGAAUAAAUUUCUAAAAAAAAUAUGAUAUGAAAUAUAAAAAAUACCAAAAGAACAUGAGAAUAGAAAUCGAAAUCGACCUUCCUCUUUUUUUUUGCUUUUUUGAUUGCUUAAUAUGUGUGAUACAAUUUUUGUAUCUUCCCCCCACUUCGUUUUGACUUUUUCUUGGCUUUAUAGCCGAUUACAAUAGUAGAAAAAUAUUGUUUUUCUUUGUCUCUACCACUGUUCGUGUCUUGUUUCGGUUUUCUACUCCUUGUUUGUCUUUUCUUUUGCAGGUGUGGUCAGAGGCGUGGAGGGCAGAAGGUAUGGGCGAUGGUAUGGGACGCCUGUUUCAGGUGUUGUGCACCCUGAGGCCAGCACAUGGAGGCAGCGGCGCAAGGCUUGUGGAGCUAGGGUUUGAAUUGUUGAAAAGUUUUAAGAUAGUUGGGUUAGGAUUUUGACUUGGGCUUGGGUAUUGGGUUAAUGGGCUGAUCUGGUCUGUAUUUUGAUUUGUAAAAGGACGGUAUAAAUGGACAUUUUGAUUUUUUUCAAAAUUUGGUUUAUUUAUUUUAAGGCCCGGGCAAAAUAUAGGUUCUACAGUAUACAUGUAAAUAUAUCUCAAUUAUAUCCAUAUAUAAAUAUAAGUUUUAAAAUUAUUAAUUUUUUUUCAAUAAUUUAAUCUAAUAACUAUUAAUUUUAAAUUUACUUGUAGAAAAAUUAAAAUAGUUAAGAUAAAAAAAUUUAAAAUUAGCUGAAAUACCAAAAUUUUGUACUAGUCAGUACAAGUCAGUAUUGACCAAAAAAAGUUGAAACACACCGAAAAUUUAACCAAAAUGGAACGUAGACUAUUUUAUACUGGUUUAGAAUCGGAAUGGUAUGAUCAAUAACCAGUUCAUUACCAACUACCAUAUUAAAAGCAUACAAUUUUGGGUUGUAUAAUAUAGUUUCUCAUCGGAUAAGUUGACGUUUACCAUAAUUAAGAUCAAUUUUGUAUAGAAUAACAAAGUCAUUCAAUUUUAACGAAUCAAUAAAUGUUUUCGAAAUCGUAAUAUUCUGAUUAAUCUUUUCAAUACGAGUACUUUCUAAAAAGAUAAGUGUGCUCCACUCCUAUAAACAGAUAACCACAUGAUUGGAGAAACGCUUUGACUGAGCAUUUGGUUGAGAAAUUUUUUAUCAGGAAAGGAACUAUCAUAGAUUCAAAUUCAAAAUUGUUACUAUAAAAUAUAAAUAACUUCUCCUAUCACCUUAACAUACAAAUAUAUAUUAAAACAAAAACUAAAUAAUACAAAUCCCACCUACGGUAUCCAAACGCCAUUCUCUGAACUUCAUUUUUCCUUCAAAAUAAAGCUUCGAUUUGAUCUCUUUUAGUGAAAAAAUGGCUGAAAAUCUUAUGCAUGCUUUACAAUAUAACAGCUAUGGCGGAGGCGCUGCUGCUUUGAAGGUGAAAAUCUACUUCAUUACAAUGAUUUAUUUUGCUUUUCUUUUUUUUUUGUACUGUUUUUCUUCAUUUAAUUUUGUUUGGUUGAGAUAUUAGUUCGUCUUUUAAGUGGAGAUUUCAAUUAAGGUUGUUAAUCUAGUGUUUAUGUUGAUCUAAGUUUGUUCUUCGGAUUCAAAAUUCUAUUAGUUAAAUUUGUGAUUUAAGAAAGCAUGAAGAUGAUUCCAAUGUGUGCCGUGAGUUACUCAGGAAGUGGAAUUUUCUGGAACGGAAAUGAACUAGGGAUUUGGUAUUCGGAAUUAAAAUUUCACAAAAAGGAUCUGAGAUUGAGAGGUUGACUUGAUGGAGAAGUUAAGUCUUGACCCAUUUUAUCGUCGGAUUCAAAUUUUUAUUAGUUAAAUUUGUGAUUGAAAGCAUAUAGAUAAUUUGAAUGAGUGCCGCAAAGCACUAGGAUAGUGGAAUUUUCUGGAAAUGAAGUAAAUUAAGGAUUUGCUGAGACGGAGAGGUUGAUACUUGACAGUGAAGUUAAGUGUUUAAAUUUUUUAUAUGGACCUGCUUGAUAUAAACUUGAAAAAAUAACCGGCAGGGACUUGAUUUUAUAACGCUGUGAAUUUUUGUGCUUUUUACAGCAUGUUGAAGUUCCGAUCCCAACUCCAAAUAAAGGUGAAAUUUUGCUUAAACUGGAGGCAAUUAGUCUAAACCCAGCUGACUGGAAAAUACAGAAAGGGAUGCUGCACCCACUUUUACCUAGAAAAUUCCCCUUCAUACCUGGUAGUUUAUAUAUUCUCGAGACUCUUUCUUUUUAUGAAUGAUGUUUGAACCAGACCGGUAGGGGUACCAGUCCAGAUAAUGGCUUUGAACCGGUACAGACCGGUUGAACCGAUGGUUUACAUUUGUGGAGUUUGCUUUAAUUGCAACUAUUGAUGGGAAAAAAUGUGUCUAUUUGUUAACUCAAGUGAUCAUUAAAGGACAGAAUUUGUCUAGUUGUUAAGGCAUAUCCUUUUUUAUAAUUAACCAACAAAAUAAUAGACUGGUUUGUAGGUCUCUUAGUUUAAGCAUUUGUGGUUAUUUGAUGGUAAUUUUUGGCAUCCUAUUGUCAUAGAGCUAAUGCUUUUAAAACUUGAAGAUUUGAUAUCUCAAAUGAAAGUUGUCUAGCUAUAUACCAUUUGUAAGUUAUAUUAAAGAACCAGUCUUCAGUAAGCUUUGCAGUUUUCUCUCUGUUGAUAUUUGGAUCGCCGCAUUUUAAUCAUCGGUUAAAGAUUUUUAUUUUCUUGUGCAGCAAGUGAUGUAGCCGGAGACGUCGUAAAGGUUGGACCAGGAGUCACAAAUUACAAAGUUGGGGAUAAAGUUGUGUCUCUGCUUCAUCAUUUUGUAAGUUCUCAUUCUCAUUCUUAACCCCGCCACCCCCCCCCCAAAAAAAAAAAAAAACCAACAUAAAAAGUCCUGCCCUGUUGUCUCGUAUUAUAAACGAAUCAAUAUCAAUUAUGUAGAUUGCUAUUGCCAUCUUCUAAUAUGAAUUAGAUUUGAAAUGAUAGACCGGAGGUGGACUAGCUGAAUAUGCUGUGGCUAAGGAGAAUCUGACAGUUGCAAGGCCACCAGAAAUACCAGUUGCCGAAGCCGCUGGUUUACCCAUGGCUGGUCUCACAGCUCACCAAGCUGUCACCCAUAGGGCUGGGGUCAAGCUUGACGGAAGUGGCCAGCAAUUAAACCUCUUGAUUACUGCUGCUUCAGGUGGUAUAGGUCAUUAUGCAGUUCAACUAGCAAAGCUUGGAAACACACAUGUAACAGCACUUGUGGGGCUCGUAAUCUGGAUUUUGUCAAAAGCCUCGGAGCAGACGAGGUUCUUGACUACAAAACUCCCGACGGUGCAACUCUGAAAAGCCCUUCCGGUCGCAAAUACGAUGUAGUUAUCCACUGUGCUUCUGGUAUUACUUGGUCUACCUUUGAACCUAAUCUAAGUUCAAACGGGAAGGUAAUCGACAUAACCCCUGGUCUUAGUGCUUUCCUGACUUGUGCUAUGAAAAAGCUUACCUUCUCAAAGAAGAAGAUGGUACCACUGCAAUUGUCACCUAAAAAGGAGAACCUCGAUUAUCUGGUAAACUUAGUGAAAGACGGGAAGCUUAAGACGGUAAUCGAUUCAAAGUAUCCCCUAAGUAAGGCUGAGGAAGCAUGGGCUAAGAGCAUUGAUGGUCAUGCCACUGGUAAGAUCAUUGUGGAGCCUUAAUCUAUGAAAUAUUACUUUUUACUUACUACAGUGAUGCUUGGUGGUCAUGCUGCUUGUGUGUAUAAUUGGGAUUUGUGUAUCUUAAAAAUUAUGUGUAUGAAAUGUAUGGUUAAUAUACACAUUGGAUGACAUUGCAAAAAUUUCUUAAUGUGUUAUAAGCUUUGUAUUCACAAAUUUAGCUCUUGUUUUAUAUGUUUCCUACUUUUCCUUACUUUUUCUAGUUGAUAAAUUGAGCAAUGAAAUGUUGUUAUGACUUAGAUUUAUAUGUGUUUUUUUUUUCAUGUCUAUUUUAUAAUUUAUAUUCGGAAUUAAUAGCCAUAUUUUUUAAUAAUCUCGAUUUUAAGAUUAAAAAUACUUGUUGAAACUUGUAUGGCUUUUCACUGGUAGCAUAUUUCAAAAUUUUUUAAAAUUAAAAUUGUACUUAUAAAUUAAAUUGCUUGUUAAUAAUAUCUAUUAUAUAUAAUAUUUGAAAGUUUAUUGAGCAAAUUUUUUAUGAAUUAUAUUUUAUUAAAAAAUAUUUAAAAUUUAUUAAAUUACUUUUUUUAUCUUAUUUUCAAUUAUUUAUUGUAACACAUUAAUUUUUAUUUUUAUAGGAUGUAAUAAAAAAUAAAAAAUUAAUUAUAUAAAUAAGUGUGAACAAUUUAUACAUAAUACAAAAGUUAAUAACGAAAAUUAAUCUAAACUAUUAAAAACUAUUAAAUCUUGUCACACAUAAUAUAGGUGAAAAUGCAUGUAACAAAGUUUUAAAAAAAUGAAAAACAUUGAUAUGAUAACAAAAAAUGGAGUUAGAAAAAUAAAAAAAAUAAUAUUUUAUGUUCAGGUUUCAUUAUAUUUAUCUAUUUUUCUAGAUUUUAUAUAAAAAACAAAUAAAAUUACCCUUAAAAUUAUUUCUAUUACUAAUUAAAAAUAAUAAUUUUUUAAUAAAUUCACUCUUAAAUAUAGUGGAAUAAUAAAUAAUAGAUAAAUAAUAUAUUUACUCAUAAGUCUUCUCUCAAUUUAUAAAUAAAAGAAUAAUGUAUUUUAGCAUACUUAAACUUUCAUUCUCUUAUAUUAAUAAUAAUAUUCAUAUAAAUCAAACAAAUACUCAAUUUAACUUCACUCUAAGUUUAUAAUAUAUUAGAGAAUUAAAUAUGGUAACAGAUAAUAGAUAACAAAUUAAACAUUUCGAGAGAUUUCUUGCAAAAUCAUCGAGGGUGUAUCCGUCAAGUCAACCAUGUGGUCCCCAUUUGUUUAAAUGGUUAUGGCUAUCGCCUAGCAGUUAACAAUACGAAUCCCCACCUACGUUAUCCUCCGCCAUUCUCUGAACUUUAUUUUUCCUUCGAAAAAAAAAAACAAAACAAAACAAAAAAACUUCGAUUUUAUCUCUUUUAACGAAAAAAAUGGCUGAAAAUCUUAUGCAUGCUUUACAAUAUAACAGCUAUGGCGGAGGCGCUGCUGGUUUGAAGGUAAAUAUCUACUUUCUUAUGAUGAUUUAUUUUGCUUUCCGUAGUGUUUUGUCGCAUAUAUAAUUUUGUUUAGUUGAGAUAUUAAUUCGUUUUUUAAGUGAAGAUUGCAAAAGGUUUUUAAUCUAGUGUUUAUAUUGAUCUAAGUUUGCUCUUCGGAUUCAAAAUACUAUCAGUUAAAUUUGUGAUUGAAAAAGCAUGAAGAUGAUUUCAGUGAGUGCCGUGAGUUACUAUGGAAGUGGAAUUUUCUGGAACGGAAAUGAACUAGGGAUUUGCUAUUCGGAAUUAAAAUUUCACAAAAAGGAUCUGAGAUUGAGAGGAUGACUUGAUAGUUAAAUGUUGAGCGAUUUUAUCGUCGGAUUCAAAAUUUUAUUUGUUAAAUUUGUGAUGGAAAGCAUAUGGAUAAUUUGAAUGAGUGCUGCGAGGCAGUAGGAUAGUGGAAUUUUCUGGAAUGGGAGUAAAUUAAGGAUUUGCUCUUUUGAAGAGAUCUGAGACUGAGGCUGGUACUUGACAGUGAAGUUGAGUGUUUAAAUUUUUUAUAUGGACCUGCUUGAUAUAAGCUUGAAAAACUAAUAGCCAGCGACUUGAUGUCAUAACGGCUUUGAAUUUUUUUGUGCUUGUUACAGCAUGUUGAAGUUCCGAUCCCCACUCCAAAUCAAGGUGAAAUUUUGCUUAAACUGGAGGCAACUAGUCUAAACCCAGUUGACUGGAAAAUACAGAAAGGGAUGCUGCGCCCAUUUUUACCUAGAAAAUUCCCCUACAUACCUGGUAGUUUAUUUAUUUUAUCCUUUCACGACUGUUUUGGUCUUGAAAUAUUAUCGAGACUCUUUUACUUUUACUUGGUUAGUGGUAUUUGUAUUUAAUUUACACUAUCUGUUAAGUAUCUGAAGUUACAUCAGUCUUCAAUAUCUGGGUUUGUUGUAGUACCAUGUCAAAUUCCCAAUCAGUAUUCAACUUGGAAUCUAAUUUGCUUCGAUUUACAUUGUGAAGUUUGCUUUAGUAGUAACAAUUGAUGGGAAGAAAUGUGUAUUUGUUAACUCAAGUUUUUAUUAAAGGACAGAAUUUGUCUAUUUGUUAAGGCAUAUCUUUUUUCUAUAAUUAACCAACAUAAUAAUAGACUGGUUGGUAGGUCUCCUAGGUUAAGCAGUUGUGGUUAUUUGAUGGUAAUUUUUGGCAUCCUAUUGUCAUGGAAGAUUUGAUAUCUCAAACAAAAGUUGUCUAUAUAUCGUUUGCAAAUUAUAUUAAAGAACCCAUCAUCAGUAAGCUUUGUAGUUUUCUCUGUCUAUAUUUGGAUUGCUGCAUUUUAAGCAUUGGUCAAAGAAAAUUUUUUUCAUGUGCAGCUUCUGAUGUAGCGGGAGAAGUUGUAAAAGUUGGACCGGGAGUCACAAAUUACAAAGCUGGGGAUAAAGUUGUGUCUAUGCUCCAUCAUUUUGUAAGUUCUCAUUCUCAUUCUCAAUCCUUCCCCCCACCUGAAAAAAAAAAUUAGCAUAAAAGGUCUGGCCCUUAGGCUCUCAACUGGCAUGUCAUUAAUCAUUCUGAGAACAAUCAGAAAGGAGAUUUCUUCAUGAAGAGUGGAAGAAUCACCGGCAUUUUACUAGCUUAAUAGAUCACAAUUUGAAAAAUAGUUAAUGAUAUUUGUGUUUUUGGUAUUAGCUCAAGCAAUUAAUUGAGCACCGUGCUUGGUAGGACUUUAGGCAACAAUUCUUGAGGUAAAAUAUGGAUCUCCUUAUGGCCAAAAAAUCAACUUCAGAAUCCAACAAUGACAGAACAACAUAAAUUGUAGCCCCAUAAAAAGGAUUUUUAUGGACUGGUUCUACAUUUUUUGUUCUAAAUAAACCAUGUUGAUCUUCCAAUGAGUGAUCUUGAUUAGCUCUAGUUAUGAGAACUGGUUAGCAUUGGCCUGCUUGCCUGAUUAGAUUAAUCAAAGUAAAUUGAAGCUGUCAUCCCCAGAAUUUGAAAUCCUGAAAGCUUUUGGCUUUCUUUAUUUUGCUUGUAUUGAUAGUGAUGCUAGAGAAAUAUAGGUAUAUUCGAUGUUUCACUGGCCUUAUUACAACUAUAGGAUUAUCCUGAGACCCCAGAUUUUAUUACAACUUCUACUUUUCAUAUCGAGUCAUAUCGUGUUUAGAAUGCAAAAACUAUCUACGUGGAUAUCAUUUCUGAGGUAGUGAUUUUACUCUCAUCAUGUGGCCAUUUGGCUGAGAGAAACUUAGAUAUCAUUACUGCAGGCCAGUGGUUCGGUGAAUUUAUCUUCUAUUCGUAUUAUCAAUGAAUCAGUAUCAGUUAUGUCGAUUGCUAUGGCUAUCUUCUAUUAUGAAUUAUUUGCAAUGAUAGACUGGAGGUGGACUAGCUGAAUAUGCUGUGGCUAAGGAGAAUCUGACCGUUGCAAGGCCACCAGAAGUAUCAGCUGCCGAAGGUGCAGGUUUGCCUGUUGCUGGUCUUACAGCUCACCAGGCACUCACCCAGUCGGCUGGGGUCAAGCUUGAUGUAAGUGGCCAGCAAGUAAACCUCUUGAUUACUGCUGCUUCAGGUGGUGUAGGUCAAUAUGCAGUUCAACUAGCAAAGCUUGGAAACACCCAUGUGACAGCCACUUGUGGGGCUCGCAAUCUGGAUUUUGUCAAAAGCCUCGGAGCAGAUGAGGUUCUUGACUACAAAACUCCCGAUGGUGCAGCUCUAAAAAGCCCUUCGGGUCGCAAAUAUGAUGCAGUGAUCCACUGUGCAAUGGGCAUUCCUUGGUCUACCUUUGAACCUAAUCUAAGUUCAAACGGGAAGGUAAUCGAUAUAACCCCGGGUCCUAGUGCUCUGCUAACUUUUGCUAUGAAAAAGCUUACCUUCUCAAAGAAGAACCUGGUACCACUGCUAUUGUCACCUAAGAAGGAGAACCUUGAAUAUCUCGUUAACUUAGUGAAAGAUAAGAAGCUUAAGACGGUAAUUGAUUCAAAGCAUCCCUUAAGUAAGGCUGAAGAAGCAUGGGCUAAGAGCAUUGAUGGCCAUGCCACUGGUAAGAUCAUUGUGGAGCCUUAAUCUAUGAAAUAUUACUUUAUACUUACUACAGGGAUGCUUGAAGGACAUAUUGCUUGUUUGUAUAAUUAUGAUUUUUUUGCACUUUGAAAUUUAUGUUUAUGGAAUGUUUGGUUAAUAUAUUGCAAAAUUUUCUUAACGUGUUGUAAGCUUCGAAUUCACAAAUUUAACUCUGCUUUCAUGUGGCUCCUACAUCUCCUUGCUUUUCUUGCUUGAUAAUUUGAACAAUGAAAUGUUGUUGGAAGUUGGACCAUCUAGUGUUUUUUAUUUCCCAGUUAAUGGUUAUUUUUCCUUGUAAUAUCAUUUUCAAGGUUUAAAUUUGCAAUAUUUCUUUGAUAGUGUAGUGUCUCUUAUCAUUACAUUUAAUACUUGUUGGUAUUUGUAUACUUUUUUAUAUUCCAAUUUUUUUUAAAUUAAAAUUUUGCUUUAUCAAUAUUUAUGAUAUUAAAAUAUUUGAAAGUUUAAUUUUGUCAAUUUUAUUUAGUUCUAAAAUAUUUAAAAAUGAUUAAAUUUUUUUUAUUGUAACACAUUAAUUUUGAUUUUUAUCGUUGUCAAUUAAAUUGAUCUUGUGACAUUAAAUUAUUCAUCAGUUAAAAUUAUAUCUUUGUAGAGUUUUUAAAAAUAAUAUAUGGAAUAAUUAUUGUUUAAGUACAUAUUGUACAUCUGUUACCUUCUCAUCAGUUUGUACUGAUGAUUAAGAAUCAUGCAAUCUAUGGUUGAUGUAUGCGAUUCAAUCAAAAAUCUAUCAUCAUAGUUCAUGCAUUGACUAAUCAUUUCAACUGAUUUUUUUAGCCUUGACUAUAAUAAUUUAUUGGUCAAAUUUUACUUAUUUGUACUUGUAGUAUGCGUAAGGUAUGAGUCUAAUUUUUAUAAUUUAAUUUAUAAAAUUUUUGAAUUGAUUUGUUUUAGUUAUUAUGAUAAUAAUUAAAUUUAUUUCAAUUAAAUUUUAUUUUAAUUUUAUAUUAUGUUUAAAGUUGUAAAAUUUAUCCAUAUUCUCUUAUUUAGUAAAUCUUAGUUUUUCAAAAUUUGAAAUUUUAGUCUUGACGUAAAUGAUAAUCACUAAAUCUAUUAAUUGAUUUUUAUGAGUGAUAUGUUAAAAUAACAAGUUAACAUUGACAUAAUAUAUUUACCGCAUAAAAUUUUAAAAAUAAUAUAACUUAGUUUAACCAUUAUUAUUUAGUUAAAAUUUUAAAAAAUAAAUAUUCAAAAUCAAACAAGUUAAAGUAAAAAACUAAACACACAACUUUUAUAUAUAUAGUACAAUAAUAAAUAGUAUAAAUAAAUUUAAUCUAUUAACAAUUAUUAGAUUUCGUCAUAAGGGUGAAAAAUGUAUGUAAUAAAUAUAAUAACAAAAAAUAGUUUUGGAUGAAGUGAUAAAGUUAAAAGAUUAAAAAUCAUAAUGUUUUGAGUUUAAAUCCCAUUAUCAUGGCUAUCUAAUUUUUUAGAUUUUAUAUGUAAAAGGAUAAAAUUACCUUUAAAAUUAUAUUUAGUAUUGAUUUAAAUGAGAAGUUUUUGAAAUAUUGACAGAUGUAGUGUAGAGCAGGUUGAGCUUUGGGCGAUUUAUGAUGGACUCCUUCUGACGUGGGUGUUAAUUGGGCUAAUAUUAUUGUCGAUAAGAAUUGCGCUCAAGCUGUGGAAGCCAUUUUAGAUAAAUCUUCUGGGCAUUUGAACAGGGAUUUGGUCUUGAGAAUCCAGGAGUUAUGUAGGAGAUAAUGGUAGGUGAUCAUACAACAAACUCUUAAAAAAGCCAAUGUAGCUGUGCUUACACUAGUUAGGAUGAUGAGAGCUUUCCCUUAUGGUCUGAUAGCGUUUACGGAGACUUCGACAGUGGUCGUGGAGCAAUUACGAUUGAAUGUUCGGCUUAUGUGUGAUGAUAUUAGAAUAAUUUUAUAAUUGCUUCCAUUUUUUUAUCUAAAAAAAUAAGAAGUUUUUAAUAAAUUCAUUAUUGAGUUGUGACUCAAUUGAAAAUGAUAUUAAUUUAAUAAAAGACUUAAAUAUGAUAAUAAACAUUUAAAUAUGAUAAUAGAUAAAUAUUUUUUAAAUAUGAAAUAAAUAAUACAACUUUAGCAGCUACCAAAUUCAACAUUUCAAGAGAUUUCUUGCAAAAUCAUCCAGGGUAUAUCCGUCAAAUUAACAAUGUGGUCCCCAUUUGUUUAUAUUGUUAUGGCUAGCGGUUAACAAUACAAUUCGCUCCUACGGCAUCCAUACGACAUUCUUUGAACUUCAUUUUUUCUUAUAAAAAAAAGCUUCGAUUGAUCUCUUUUAGUGAAAGAAAUGGCUGAAACUCUUAUGCAUGCUUUACAAUAUAACAGCUAUGGCGGAGGCGCUGCUGCUUUGAAGGUAAAAAUCUACUUCAUUAUGAUGAUCCAUUUUGCUUUCUUUUACUUUUUUCUUACUGUUUUAUCAUAUAAGUUUAGUUCCUUUUUUUAGUGGAGACUUCAAUUAAGGUUGUUAAUCUAGUGUUUAUAUUGAUCUAAGUUUGCUCUUCGGAUUCAAAAUUCUAUUAGUUUAACUUGUGAUUGAAGAAAGCAUGAAUAUGAUUUCAAUGAGUGCCGUGAGUUAUUAAGGAAUUGGAAUUUUCUGGAACGGAAAUGAACUAUAGGGAAUUUGCUAUUCGGAAUUAAAAUUUCACGACAAGGAUAUGAGAUUGUGAGGUUGACUUGAUGGAGAAGUUAAGUGUUGACCGAUUUUAUCGUCGGAUUCAAAAUUUUAUUUGUUAAAUUUGUGAUUGAAAGCAUAUAGAUAAUUUGAAUGAGUACUCCGAUGCACUAGGAUGCUGGAAUUUUCAGGAAUUGAAGUAAAUUAAGUAUUUGCUCUUUGGAAUUAAAAAUUCCAAAAAAGAUCUGUGACUUAUGGGCUAGGACUUGAUAGUGAAGUUAAGUGUUAACUGAUUUUAUCGUCGGAUUCAAAAUUCUAUUAGUUAAAAAAUUGUGAUUGAAAGCACAUUCUGGAACGGAAGUAAAUAAGGAUUUGCUCUUGGAAGAGAUCUGAGACCGAGAGGUUGAUAGGUUGAUACUCUUUUUAUUUUUAUUUUUUAAAUUUAAUCGGCAUGCUUUAUUAAUACCACAAAACAAGACAAAAUUGGUUGUUUGGAAAACUCCACCCACAGCAACACUAAACCACCAAAAACAAACAAUUAAAACAAAAGAAAUUUUUUAUAUGGACCUGCUUGAUAUAAACUUGAAAAGAAAAUUUACCAGUGACUUGAUGUCAUAACAGCUUUGAAUUUUUUGUGCUUGUUACAGCAUGUUGAAGUUCCAAUACCCACUCCAAAUAAAGAUGAAAUAUUGCUUAAACUGGACGCAAUUAGUCUAAACCCAGUUGACUGGAAAAUACAGGAAGGGGUGCUUCGUCCAUUUUUACCUAGAAAAUUCCCCUGCAUACCUGGUAGUUUAUAUAUUUUGUUCUUUUCACUUUUUCUGUCUUGAAAUUUUCUUGAGAAUUUUUUUUGUCAAUGAUGUUUGAACCGGAUCAGACUGGCCAGUUAGACUAGGAAUAGGCCAAGGUAUUGAUCCGGAGAAUGACUUUGAAUAGAUACGGACCAGUUGAACCAACGGUUGGAUUGGGAACUAGUCUAGGUAUCAGUUUAGAGAAUGACUUUGAACUGGUUUGGAUUGGGAACCAGUACUGGCCGGUUCAACAGAUUAAAAAACCAGUUGAACCGAGUAUUUUUAGUUUUUUUUUUUAAUUGAACCAAUCGAAUUCAUCAAACCAGCGAACGAGUGGCCUGAUUUCUAAAACACUAUUGUUAAGUAUAUCUCAAGUUACGUGAGUCUUCACAAUCUGUUUUUGUUGUAUUACUAUGUUGAAUUCCCUAGCAGGGCUUUCUGAAAAAUUUACUUAGUAUCUGCCGGAUUAUUCAACUUGUAAUCUAAUUUGCGUCGAUUUACAUUGUGGAGUUUGCUUUAGUGGUAACUAUUGAUGGGAAAAGAAUGUGUCUAUUUAACUCAAGUUAUCAUUAAAGGACAGAAUUUGUCUAUUUGUUAAGGCAUAUCCUUUUUCUAUAAUUAACCAACAUAAUAAUAAGCUGGUUGGCAGGUCUCUUAGUUUAAGCAAUUGUGGUUAUUGAUGGUAAUUUUGGCACCCUCUUGUCAUGGAAGAUUUGAUAUCUUAAAUAUAUUUUUUUUGCAGCUAGUGAUGUAGCAGGAGAAGUCGUAAAGAUUGGACCAGGAGUUACAAAUUUCAAAGCUGGGGAUAAAGUUGUAGCCAUGCUUCAUCAUUUUGUAAGUUCUAGUUCUCAUUCUUAAUCCCCCCCUCCCCAAGUCAGCAUAAAAAGUCUGGCCAGUAGGCUUAGUUUUCAGAAUCAGAUAGGUGGUUGAACUGAUGAUACCACCAUUUUGAUUAAAUAAUUAAUUAAAAAAUAUAUAAAAUAUAAAAUAUAAAAUCUGAUUUAAGUGGUUCAACCAGUCCGUAUUGAUUCCUGAGUCAAAAGGUUCAAAGCCUUCUUCCGGAUAGGUACUCUAGCUGGAUCUUUGUCCAACAGUCCGAUCAGCUGGUCUAAUCUGGUUCAAACAAUCUUGCCGGCAUGUCAUUAAUCAUUCUGAGAACAAUCAGAAAGGAGAUUUCUUCUUGAAGAGUGGAAGAAUCACCAGUAUUUUACUAGCUUAAUGGAUCACAAUUUGAAAAAUAGUCAAUGAUAUUUGUAUUUUUGGUAUUAGCUCGAGUAAUUAAUUGGGCGUUGAGCUUGGUAGGACUUUAGGCAACAAUUCUUGAGGUAAAAUAUGGAUCUCCUCAUGGCCAAAAGAUCAACUUUUGAAUCCAAUAAUGAUGGAAUGCGCGUAAAUUGUAGCCCCAUAAAAAGAAAUUCUAAGGACUGGUGCUACAUUUUUUGUUCUAGUAAACCAUGUUGGUCUUCCAAUGAGUGAUCUUGAUUAGCUUAGUCAUGAGAACCGCUUAGAAUUGACCUGCUUGCCUGUUUGGAUUAAUCGGUAUCGUGUUUAGAAUGCAACCAUCCUUUGUCUACGUGACUAUCAUUACUCUCAUUAUGUGGCCAUUUGGCUGAGAGAAACUUAGAUAUCCUUACUGCAGUCCAGUGGUUCAGUGAAUUUAUCUUCUAUUUAUAUUAUCAACGAAUCAGUAUCAGUUAUGUCGAUUGCUAUGACUCUCUUCUAUAAUGAAUUAUAUUUACAAUGAUAGACCGGAGGUGGACUAGCUGAAUAUGCUGUGGCUAAGGAGAAUCUGACAGUUGCAAGGCCACCAGAAGUAUCAGCUGCCGAAGGUGCAGGUUUGCCUGUUGCUGGUCUCACAGCUCACCAGGCAGUUUCCCAGGCAGCUGGGGUCAAGCUUGACGGAAGUGGCCAGCAAGUAAACCUCUUGAUUACUGCUGCUUCAGGUGGUGUAGGUCAUUACGCAGUUCAACUAGCAAAGCUUGGAAACACACAUGUAACAGCCACUUGUGGGGCUCGUAAUCUGGAUUUUGUCAAAAGCCUUGGAGCAGACGAGGUUCUUGACUACA